UAGCCGUAAACGAUACUCGCUAGGUGUCGGCCACGGUGCGACCGUUGUCGGUGCCGUAGGGAAGCCGUGAAGCGAGCCACCUGGGAAGUACGGCCGCAAGGCUGAAACUUAAAGGAAUUGGCGGGGGAGCACCACAACGGGUGGAGCUUGCGGUUUAAUUGGAUUCAACGCCGGAAAUCUUACCGGACCGACAGCAACAUGAAGGCCAGGCUGAAGACUUUGCCGGAUUAGUCUGAGAGGAGGUGCAUGGCGUAGUCGUGU
This 261-nucleotide ribosomal RNA is filed under the name uncultured archaeon. Its description in RNAcentral is "partial 16S ribosomal RNA". It matches the Rfam family "Archaeal small subunit ribosomal RNA", at positions 748 to 1009 of the family's 1478-position model. The record is from RNAcentral.